This is an RNA transcript of Paramisgurnus dabryanus, 1307 nucleotides long. It is a transcript of the gene named XIAP associated factor 1, with no coding region annotated. Lineage: Eukaryota; Metazoa; Chordata; Actinopteri; Cypriniformes; Cobitidae. The record is from RefSeq and is a predicted model, not a curated record.
UGACGUCAUCAGCUAGUUUUUUUAAGUUCUAAUUUAAUCUAUAAAGAAAUAGUAAUAAAGUAUCUUGCUGAAACAUUAAAUGAUUCAAAGUCAAAGGAUUGACUUGGUUGACAACUGAUUUCGCGUGUUUAUUACUUGCAUAAAAUGCGCGUGCACUGCCGUCACACCCUGAGUACUCCCCCCUCUAACUGGAAUGGGUACCAGCCGAGCAUGAGUCGAUUGGGUGGAGGAGGAAUGCAGCAAAACUGUCAUGGGACAAAGCAAUAAAGAAGUGGCUAAAGCAAACUUUGACCUACAUGAACCGCACUGUCGGAGGUUUCUGUGCCUGUGUCCUGACUGUGAUGACACUGUCCCGCGAGAGCUGCUGGAAGAACAUAAAUCUGAACAACACGCACAGGUAAAAUGUCAAAAGUGCAAUAAAAAAAUGGAACGAAGGCAUCUGUUGGACCACGAGACAGCUGAGUGCUCAGAACGGCUACAGAGCUGUGAGUAUUGUGGUCUAGAGCUUCCUCUGAAUGGCCUAUUGAAGCACAGUUUGUCCUGUGGGAGCCGCACAGAGCGCUGCCAUGACUGUGGCCGUUACGUCCAGUUUAAAGACCAGCUUAAACACACAAACAACUGCUCAAAAACCCACCCAAGGUCAAAGAGUUCAAGCUCUGAAGACGAUGAAACUAAUGAUGAGUUCACCUCAAGAUGUUGGAAAUGUCAGCAGUCCAUUCCUUUAGAUAGUCUAGAUGAGCAUGAGCUGGACUGCAAAAAUGCCUUACAGUUUAUUAGAAAGGAUGUUGAUUUUGAUGACACUGCAGACUUCUCAUUCUCAAAGUAUCAAAGGGUAAAGAGAGAAAACCAUAUGGAGGAGCUUGAUAAAAUAGGCACCUGUAAACUCUGUCACCUGGCACUUCCCAUUAAGAUUCUUAAAUGGCAUCAGCAAAAAUGUGAAUUAAAUAAGCAUCUGAGCCUCGCACAAUGAAGACUGGUGCAAGCAGAACUAAGAAUGGUAGCUGGGAAUAUGAUUAAAAACUUAAUAAUCACAAAUGAGGGUGUGACAUCACAAUUGCAAUAAUAUUAAACACUUUAAAUAAUUAAAGUUAAAGGAUACUGUUUGGUUUCAGUGUGAUAAUAGCCUAAGUUAAGCAACUUAGAUCCCUACGUAGGAGAAAUAUUACUAGAAGUUUUUGAAAUAUGCAAUAUGUAUAUAUGUUGUUUGAAGUAUCUCCUUUUUUUCAUCACUUUGUGCUUGAUAUAUCUGAACAGACUUCAAUUUUGAUUUUGUUGCAAUAAAGAUAUAAAAAGACUUAUAAAAAAGA